This 478-nucleotide ribosomal RNA is filed under the name uncultured bacterium. RNAcentral describes it as "partial 16S ribosomal RNA". It matches the Rfam family "Bacterial small subunit ribosomal RNA", at positions 28 to 523 of the family's 1533-position model. The record is from RNAcentral.
GACGAACGCUGGCGGCGUGCUUAACACAUGCAAGUCGAACGGUAAGGCCCUUCGGGGUACACGAGUGGCGAACGGGUGAGUAACACGUGGGUGAUCUGCCCUGCACUUCGGGAUAAGCCUGGGAAACUGGGUCUAAUACCGGAUAGGACCACUGCCUGCAUGGGUGGGGGUGGAAAGCUAUUGCGGUGUGGGAUGGGGCCGCGGCCUAUCAGCUUGUUGGUGGGGUGAUGGCCUACCAAGGCGACGACGGGUAGCCGGCCUGGGAGGGUGACCGGCCACACUGGGACUGAGAUACGGCCCAGACUCCUACGGGAGGCAGCAGUGGGGAAUAUUGCACAAUGGGCGCAAGCCUGAUGCAGCGACGCCGCGUGAGGGAUGACGGCCUUCGGGUUGUAAACCUCUUUCAGCACCGACGAAGCGCAAGUGACGGUAGGUGCAGAAGAAGGACCGGCCAACUACGUGCCAGCCGCCGCCGUAA